This 461-nucleotide ribosomal RNA is filed under the name Selenomonas sp. oral taxon G55. Its description in RNAcentral is "bacterial SSU rRNA". It matches the Rfam family "Bacterial small subunit ribosomal RNA", at positions 28 to 465 of the family's 1533-position model. Lineage: Bacteria; Bacillati; Bacillota; Negativicutes; Selenomonadales; Selenomonadaceae. The record is from RNAcentral.
GACGAACGCUGGCGGCGUGCUUAACACAUGCAAGUCGAACGGGAUGAUCUUAAAGCUUGCUUUUAGAGAAUCUAGUGGCAAACGGGUGAGUAACACGUAGACAACCUGCCGAUAGGAUGGGGACAACAUUCCGAAAGGAAUGCUAAUACCGAAUGAAGCGGAGGAGAGGCAUCUCUCUUCCGUGAAAGAUGGCCUCUGAACAUGCUAUCACCUGUCGAUGGGUCUGCGUCUGAUUAGCUGGUUGGUGAGGUAACGGCUCACCAAGGCGACGAUCAGUAGCCGGUCUGAGAGGAUGAACGGCCACAUUGGGACUGAGACACGGCCCAGACUCCUACGGGAGGCAGCAGUGGGGAAUCUUCCGCAAUGGGCGCAAGCCUGACGGAGCAACGCCGCGUGAGUGAAGAAGGUCUUCGGAUCGUAAAGCUCUGUUGAUGGGGACGAACGUGCAAGGGGUGAAUAAU